This is a long non-coding RNA of Chelonia mydas (Green sea turtle), 843 nucleotides long. RefSeq lists it as uncharacterized. Lineage: Eukaryota; Metazoa; Chordata; Testudines; Cheloniidae. The transcript is spliced from 2 exons. The record is from RefSeq and is a predicted model, not a curated record.
UAGGAGAGCAAAUCUAAUGAUCAAGCCAUGUCUAUGGUAUGUAACUGCUGAUGAAACAGAGAAGAGGGUUUUCUGUAUGCUAUCUAUUAAUGGUCAGUUAGAUAGAAAACACCUCCCCAAAGGUAGACUCGUCACUCUGAAAGGCACACCAGUGGGCAUUAAUAUCUGUCUUAAAUCAACAGCUACUGUGCAAUGACCAUGUUAGAGGUGAUCUAAGGAAAUGUCUGUGAAUGAAUAUCUCUAGAGAGUCUGUAAAAUAAAUCAGGUGAUUCAACACUUUUUUUCAGAAAAACAUCCUGUGAUAUAAUGUCUGUAAUAAAACCACUCCCCAAUGAAGAAGUGGUUUUACCUGCUGCUGAUUCUCCAGCUUCUGUGAGAAUCAUGACAAGUGAACCCAGUUUUUUUGGUCAGAGAUAAAAGUCCAUGGACUUAUUAUAACAAGCCCAUUACACUCAUUGCCAUUGGAGAACUGGUCUUUUUUGGUGGUAUCAUCCUCACUGCAUUGUACUUUAAAUAUGUAAGUGUCCCAUAUGCCCUGGGGCCUGUUUCUUUCUAUUGGACUGAUGUUUCUCAUCACAGGAAUUGUGUGGAUGCCAGUCCGAUAUAAUGGGCUUCUGAGAAGAAAACAUCCAAGAAAAUCCAGAGCUGCAUGCACUUCCAGUGUAUGAAUGAAACUCUUUUUUAUAAUGGUGUCAAAUUCAUGUAACUUUUUAUCUUUUGUGCCGCCAACUACUACAAUGCCAAAGGUGAACUGAAAAAGAUGUAAAGAUCACCUCAAUGUUAUUUGCUUCUGUUUUAAUCUUUUGCCUUUGUAUUAAAAAAUAAAGCUUCUGUUUUGAGCCA